RNAcentral lists this long non-coding RNA (861 nucleotides) under Takifugu rubripes (torafugu). RNAcentral's name for it is "lncRNA (ENSTRUG00000029877.1)". Lineage: Eukaryota; Metazoa; Chordata; Actinopteri; Tetraodontiformes; Tetraodontidae. The record is from RNAcentral.
GCCAAGUCCCAAGGCUUUAGCCAAACUUCCUGCCUUCCUGCCUGAACUACACGGUACUUUAGCCAAACUUCCUGCCCAUCUGUCGGUAUGCAGUUUGUACCGGCCAAAGUAAAAACUGUUGUGAAAAUUGGUUUACAUGGUCAUCACACACGACAGGAGCCCAGGAAGUAAACAGGCGGGAUGUGCAGGUCCUCUUGCAGGUCACCUUCGUUACCCUGCUGCUCUUUGCUCUGCUUUCUAAUCGUUGCUACACAAUUAGCCUGCUAAGCUUCUGCUGGAAAGAAGUCAGGAGAGGAGACUGGAUGUUGUGCCGUCAUUCUCUGCACUCAGAAAGCACUAGUGGAGAGGAGCAACUGUGCUGAACUUCUCCUUCUUUUACAAGAAAGAAUAAAGCAUGUCCAAGACACCAGAGAGGACAUCUACAAGUUCUGCAGGCUCAACAAAUAGCAAAGAUGUCACCCCCAAGGAUUCACCGGCUGGUUCACUUUCUGACACACCCAAGAAAUCAUCGAAGAAGUCAAAGAAAAGCAAAGACAACAUGACCAAAGUCUACACCUCUGUGCUGGACAGCGUCUUUGGUGCAGUAAGCAUCUGACCCCCCUCCCCCUUUUUGAUGUGCAUUUGGACUGUACUGUCAAAAGAAGUACAGGAGCAGUCAUUCAGGGCAAUCACAAGUGUCCUUGCUGGUCUUUGCUGGCGCAGCCACUAAUCCUCCCUCGUCCCCUGUCAUUAGUGGCUCAUUAGUUAAGGCUUACUGCCAGAGUUCAUUAGCAUUAGCCAGGUAGCACUCACUGAAUGUAGCUUUUUAAUUUUACAUCAGUCAAUUUAGAAAACUGUUAUUGUGUUACAUAUUAUGACCUU